AGUAAGGAAUAGCAUGGCAUGACAUGUGAUUCAAAAAAAAAAAGGAAAAAAGAAGUGACUUUGGGCAAUCCGCCCAUGCAUGAGAAAAUAGGAAAUGAAAGACAUUUCAAGGCUUUUGCCUUGAGAGAUCCACCCAUAACAAAGUAAAAGAGAAAAGGAGAAAGGAGAAAGAAGAGAAGAAAAAGUUGAGUGAAAAGGCAAACUAAGUGAGGGUUUGGUUUUGUGGGAUUUUAGAGUACUUGUGAGCUUAUUUCUUGCUAUUUUCCUAUCAUCAAGCUUCAUUACUUCUAGGAAUUCAUUCUUUACUGAGAGAUAUGGGUUAGAUCUCAUGGUAGCUAAGAAAUAUCAAGAUAAAAAGAACAUGGAUGAUCCAUGGGUUCAACUAAGUUAUGAUAGUAAUCGGCCUAGUGUGCAAUCAUCGGCACUUAUGGUCCACCGCAGAUAGGUUAAGGCAUCUCAUAGUACUUUAUUUCGAGUCGCUCUGCUGCUAGAGGUCUUGUCAUUUGUAAUAUAUUUAUUUACUGUAAAUAGACACUAGUCUCAAUGUGAUUGUACAAUUACAGAUUAUACAUUUAGAUGUAGUUUUACAAUUAUGUGGAAUAAAGGUUGAACAAUUUAUAA
Theobroma cacao (cacao) is the source of this 621-nucleotide non-coding RNA. Lineage: Eukaryota; Viridiplantae; Streptophyta; Magnoliopsida; Malvales; Malvaceae. The record is from RefSeq and is a predicted model, not a curated record.